Molecule: non-coding RNA, 76 nt
Organism: Parastagonospora nodorum SN15
Lineage: Eukaryota; Fungi; Ascomycota; Dothideomycetes; Pleosporales; Phaeosphaeriaceae
Source: the annotation of a RefSeq genome assembly
GGUGAGGUGGCCGAGUGGUUGUACGUACUUACCUCUUCAGUGGGAAACCGCGUGGGUUCGAAUCCCACCCUCAUCA